Molecule: long non-coding RNA, 937 nt
Organism: Oncorhynchus keta (chum salmon)
Lineage: Eukaryota; Metazoa; Chordata; Actinopteri; Salmoniformes; Salmonidae
Exons: 3
Source: RefSeq, a predicted model, not a curated record
AGCCUGCUGCUGAGAGCCUGGUAGACAUGCUGCAGUGUGAGUUCUGUGGGAAGAGAGGCUACGUUCACACCUUCCUCCGAUCCAAACGAUUCUGCUCCAUGACCUGUCAGGUUCAAUGUGAGCUGUACUAAGCAUCUGAGCAAGUUGAAGGUGGACAAGGCCAGUCAUUGGAGCCACAGGCCGAUGGGCAGGAGAGGACGACCCCUGGGAAGGAUCAACGGGGGCUCCAGAGAACACUUCCUCCUUAGACAGGUAGGAGGGACAUAUCCAACGAGUUACGUUCCCAGGAGAUUGACGGCCAGGCCCUCCUAUUGCUGACAGAGAACCACUUGAUGACAGUUAUGAAUAUCAAAACUAGGCCCCGCCCUCAGAAUCUGUGCCCACAUCAACUCUCUGAGGGAACCAUGAGCACAGGAAAUGAGCAUCUCAAAUGGCACCCUAUUCCCUAUAUAGUACACUACUGUUGACCAGGGCUCUAUCUGGUCAAAAGUAGUGCACUAUAUAGGAGAUAGGGUGCCAUUUGGUAUGCGAAUGAGAGGAACACCCUUUUUGGACUUUAAAGACAUUGGAUUCCAGGAGGAUUUGAGACACACACACUGGCUCUCCACCUUUCAACUCAGUGAGAAGCAGCUAAUAAACUGUUUUUCAUCAGUGUAUCACCAUAGUGAUUGUAGCAAUACGGCAUUUUCUGUGUAUUACAUUGAAAGCACUGUACAUGAUGUUUAAAACGUAAUUAUAUUGAAAUGUUUUGCCAAAAUGUUGAUAGUCUUUGAAGGCUGUUUACCAAGCCUGAGACAAGUUGGUAUUUUACAACGACAAAGAUUGACUGAAGUUGCACCAAGAACACCCGUGGCAUAGCAACCAGGAAGUGCCUUGUGAAUUCCAUGAUUGAUGAGACAUUAGACAAGCAACAUAUUUUUUUGUACUUAUAAAUACA